Otolemur garnettii (small-eared galago) is the source of this 136-nucleotide small nucleolar RNA. The record is from Ensembl. Lineage: Eukaryota; Metazoa; Chordata; Mammalia; Primates; Galagidae.
UUGGCCCUGAAUCAAGGCCAGCAGUUUACUGAAGCUGUUGGUUUCAAGCAGGAGCUUAAAAAAUUAUCUUUCUAUGGUCUGUUGGCCAUUUCAGAACUUAGAAAUGUAAUGGUCAGUUCAUUAGAAAGAAACAUAU